This 377-nucleotide ribosomal RNA is filed under the name uncultured bacterium. Its description in RNAcentral is "bacterial SSU rRNA". It matches the Rfam family "Bacterial small subunit ribosomal RNA", at positions 521 to 896 of the family's 1533-position model. The record is from RNAcentral.
UAAGACGAACCGUACGAACGUUAUUCGGAAUCACUGGGCUUAAAGGGUGCGUAGGCGGCGCGGAAAGUAGGGUGUGAAAUCCCUCGGCUCAACCGAGGAACUGCGCUCUAAACUACCGUGCUCGAGGGAGAUAGAGGUGAGCGGAACUUAGGGUGGAGCGGUGAAAUGCGUUGAUAUCCUAAGGAACACCGGUGGCGAAAGCGGCUCACUGGAUCUCUUCUGACGCUGAGGCACGAAAGCUAGGGUAGCGAACGGGAUUAGAUACCCCGGUAGUCCUAGCCGUAAACGAUGAGCACUGGGUUGGAGGGUCCUCCAUAGCCUUCCAACCGCAGCGAAAGUGUUAAGUGCUCCGCCUGGGGAGUAUGGUCGCAAGGCUG